Long non-coding RNA from Magallana angulata, 765 nucleotides. RefSeq lists it as uncharacterized. Lineage: Eukaryota; Metazoa; Mollusca; Bivalvia; Ostreida; Ostreidae. The transcript has 3 exons. The record is from RefSeq and is a predicted model, not a curated record.
UCCUCUUAAUGCCGAUUACAUGAACAUGUGUUCAUGUUUAUAUUUGACACAAAUCGAACAGGCCAUUUAAAAUUAAUACUGUGAACAUAAAUCUUAAAACAGAACAGGUCAUAAAAUGGAUUGGGAAAGACAGUAUCGGGAAUUCGUACAUCACUUCAACAAUUUGGAUAUUCACCAGUCUGUGACACUAAUUCUUGAAGUUCAUAUGGCUCAAAAACAUGGGCGAUACUGGAGAAGGAAGCCAAGAAAGAUACGAACAGAAGAUAAAUUUUUAGUAGCUUUAAAAUGUUUCUUUAUUAUAAUUAUGUGCAUGAUCAGAUAUUCGUUUGGAGAGUUCGGUAUUUUUAAAGAAUUGUCAUAUACAUUUAGACGGAUGAAUAGCCUUCUUUAAAAAUUGUGCAUUUACCAAGUUUGGAGAAAAAUAAGAUUAACAUUUCAAAUCCUUUAGAAUGCUACGAUAUAUUUAACUUUGUAUUGUUAGUAUAUGUGGAAAUUGAGAUACAUGUUAAUAUUUAUGUAUAGUUUAGAUAAUAAAUGUUACUAUCACUAGAGCAAAAGUAAUUAAAAUCUUAAAAACAAAUUAUAGCCAAAGUUUGUCUUUUAUAAAGCGAUAAAAAAUGAGCUUACUUAAACUAGUACUUAAGAGCUAAUGUCUUAUUUUGUAAAGUUAUGUAUUGUAGAUUUUCUUUACAAGACUGUUGUUACGUCAUUCAUUGUUUUAUACUGUGUAUAAAAUAAAAUAUAUUCAAUUCAAUAUAUGUAAUA